GUGGGGAAUUUUGGACAAUGGGCGCAAGCCUGAUCCAGCAAUGCCGCGUGCAGGAAGAAGGCCUUCGGGUUGUAAACUGCUUUUGUACGGAACGAAACGGUCCUGGUUAAUACCUGGGGCUAAUGACGGUACCGUAAGAAUAAGCACCGGCUAACUACGUGCCAGCAGCCGCGGUAAUACGUAGGGUGCAAGCGUUAAUCGGAAUUACUGGGCGUAAAGCGUGCGCAGGCGGUUUUGUAAGACAGGCGUGAAAUCCCCGGGCUCAACCUGGGAAUGGCGCUUGUGACUGCAAGGCUGGAGUGCGGCAGAGGGGGAUGGAAUUCCGCGUGUAGCAGUGAAAUGCGUAGAUAUGCGGAGGAACACCGAUGGCGAAGGCAAUCCCCUGGGCCUGCACUGACGCUCAUGCACGAAAGCGUGGGGAGCAAACAGGAUUAGAUACCCGAGUAGUCC
RNAcentral lists this ribosomal RNA (450 nucleotides) under uncultured bacterium. RNAcentral describes it as "partial 16S ribosomal RNA". It matches the Rfam family "Bacterial small subunit ribosomal RNA", at positions 354 to 796 of the family's 1533-position model. The record is from RNAcentral.